CAGCACCUCAAGUGGUCAGGAUGAUUAUUGGGCCUAAAGCAUCCGUAGCCGGCGCUGUAAGUUUUCGGUUAAAUCUGUACGCUCAACGUACAGGCUGCCGGGAAUGCUGCAGCGCUAGGGAGUGGGAGAGGUAGACGGUACUCGGUAGGAAGGGGUAAAAUCCUUUGAUCUAUUGAUGACCACCUGUGGCGAAGGCGGUCUACCAGAACACGUCCGACGGUGAGGGAUGAAAGCUGGGGGAGCAAACCGGAUUAGAGACCCGAGUAGUCC
RNAcentral lists this ribosomal RNA (270 nucleotides) under uncultured archaeon. RNAcentral describes it as "partial 16S ribosomal RNA". It matches the Rfam family "Archaeal small subunit ribosomal RNA", at positions 477 to 747 of the family's 1478-position model. The record is from RNAcentral.